UGGACGCUGGCGGCGUGCUUAACACAUGCAAGUCGAACGAAGCACUUUAUUUGAUUUCCUUCGGGACUGAUUAUUUUGUGACUGAGUGGCGGACGGGUGAGUAACGCGUGGGUAACCUGCCUUGUACAGGGGGAUAACAGUUGGAAACGGCUGCUAAUACCGCAUAAGCGCACAGCAUCGCAUGAUGCAGUGUGAAAAACUCCGGUGGUAUAAGAUGGACCCGCGUUGGAUUAGCUAGUUGGUGAGGUAACGGCCCACCAAGGCGACGAUCCAUAGCCGACCUGAGAGGGUGACCGGCCACAUUGGGACUGAGACACGGCCCAAACUCCUACGGGAGGCAGCAGUGGGGAAUAUUGCACAAUGGGCGAAAGCCUGAUGCAGCGACGCCGCGUGAGCGAAGAAGUAUUUCGGUAUGUAAAGCUCUAUCAGCAGGGAAGAUAAUGACGGUACCUGACUAAGAAGCACCGGCUAAAUACGUG
Molecule: ribosomal RNA, 479 nt
Filed under: uncultured bacterium
Lineage: Bacteria
Description: partial 16S ribosomal RNA
Rfam family: Bacterial small subunit ribosomal RNA
Source: RNAcentral